RNAcentral lists this transfer RNA (90 nucleotides) under Termitomyces sp. T159_Od127. Its description in RNAcentral is "tRNA-Gly". It matches the Rfam family "tRNA". From Rfam's summary of the family: Transfer RNA (tRNA) molecules are approximately 80 nucleotides in length. Their secondary structure includes four short double-helical elements and three loops (D, anti-codon, and T loops). Lineage: Eukaryota; Fungi; Basidiomycota; Agaricomycetes; Agaricales; Lyophyllaceae. The record is from RNAcentral.
GCAUUAAUGGGGUAGUGGUAACCUGGGUUGUUCCCAUGCGCUCGGGGCAAAUUCGUCGACCUGCCGGGGGUUCGAUUCCCUCUUAAUGCA